RNAcentral lists this ribosomal RNA (809 nucleotides) under uncultured archaeon. Its description in RNAcentral is "bacterial SSU rRNA". It matches the Rfam family "Archaeal small subunit ribosomal RNA", at positions 85 to 876 of the family's 1478-position model. The record is from RNAcentral.
ACGGCUCAGUAACACGUAGUCAACCUCACUAGCAGACAGUCACCACCCCGGGAAGACGGGAAUAAUCUCGUGAUAGACCAUGUCAUCUGGAGGGAGAGAUGGAUUUAAGGAGUGCGAGAGGUUUUAUAUCGUCAUCGCCUCAGGAUGGGACUGCGGCCGAUCAGGCUGUUGGUGAGGUAAUGGCCCACCAAACCUGUAACCGGUACGGGCUUUGAGAGAAGGAGCCCGGAGAUGGACACUGAGACAAGGGUCCAGGUCCUAUGGGGCGCAGCAGGCGCGAAACCUCUGCAAUGCGCGAAAGCGUGACAGGGUUAAUCCGAGUGGUUUCCGUUGAGGGGAUCUUUUGUCGCCUGUAAAAAUGCCACAGAAUAAGGGGAGGGCAAGUCUGGUGUCAGCCGCCGCGGUAAUACCAGCUCCUCGAGUGGUCGGGGCGAUUAUUGGGCCUAAAGCAUCCGUAGCCGGUUCUCCAGGUUCUCUGUCAAAUCCAACGGUUUAACCAGAGGGCCUCAGGAGGGUACCGCAGGACUAGGAGGGCGGGAGAGGCAAGCGGUACUCACGGUAGGGGUAAAUUCCUUUUGUCCCAGGAAGACCACCAGUGUCGAAGGGCUUCCACCAGAACGCGCUCGACGGUGAGGGAUGAAAGCUGGGGGAGCGAACCGGAUUAGAUACCCGGGUAGUCCCACCCGUAAACGAUGCAGGCUAGAUGAUCCGGUGGCAAAUCGCGAUCUCAGUGUCGCAGGGAAGCCGUUAAGUUUGCCGCCUGGGGAGUACGGUCGCAAGACUGAAACUUAAAGGAAUUGGCGGGGGAG